AUACGGAGGGUGCAAGCGUUACGCGGAAUCACUGGGCGUAAAGGAUGCGUAGGCGGGUAAUCAAGUUGAGAGUGAAAUCCUAUGGCUUAACCAUAGAACUGCUCUCAAAACUGGUUACCUAGAAUAUGGAAGAGGCAGAUGGAAUUAGUGGUGUAGGGGUAAAAUCCGUAGAGAUCACUAGGAAUACCGAUUGCGAAGGCGAUCUGCUGGGACAUUAUUGACGCUGAGGCAUGAAAGCGUGGGGAGCAAACAGGAUUAGAAACCCUAGUAGUCC
This 274-nucleotide ribosomal RNA is filed under the name uncultured bacterium. RNAcentral's name for it is "partial 16S ribosomal RNA". It matches the Rfam family "Bacterial small subunit ribosomal RNA", at positions 523 to 796 of the family's 1533-position model. The record is from RNAcentral.